GAGAGAUAUUUGCUAAUUACACCUUCAGCUUAAGGUAAUGUUUCUUGAUGUACAUACAACAUAAAAAAUUCACCAUGUAUAGGUUGUUAGGUUUUUCGGAUUGAAAUUCAUUAUGUAUUGAAGUUCAUAUUGUCUUAAAGAUAAAUUCAGCACUGAUUGUCGGCAUGCUGUUCAUGGCACUGAUUGUCGAUGCAGAAAGGUUCUCACAGUCACAGUAUGUUGGAUUAGUUGUAACCUAUCCUUAGAUUUUCAAGAAAAAUCCCGACAUUACUAAUCAGCUGGGCAUGCACAUGAUAGAUUUGACGAUUUUUUGCAUUGUAAAUGGUCCCUUGACUUGCUCUUUACAGGUAUGUACAUGUGGCGAUGCUCCUUAGAUUGAGAAUAUGAUGCAGGUUUUUGGGGAUGACAAAAAUGACAGAGGAGAGUGCCCUAAUUCCUUCCUGCUUUGUGCCAUUUUUUUCAGGGUAAGAAUAGUAUGCACGUUCUUCCAAGAAUUGAAGCACGUUGGGAAGGCGUACAUCAAUUGAGAUGAUUGAGCAGUUCCAGCUUCAAAUCAGGUGACAUGAAUUACACCACAACUCAUUGGCUUGCCAUGUAAGGAUGACAACUUUGUGAUGAGCGAAAUUGGAUGUAGUCAGUAGGGUGGGAGGCGAGAUGAGGCAAACCUCUUCCAGUCUUUUUGGUUAUCUAAUUGGUUAACUUGUUUAUAAUUGUAAUAAUUUGUUUACCGAGUUCAGCAAAGUCAUCCUGGAUGGGGCAUUGUACAUGGUGCUUGUCAGUUUUCUGAAUUACAAUUGUCUAAUGUAUGGAUUCCCUUUUGUUCAUACAUCUAAUUCUACAGAUAUUUAAA
Molecule: long non-coding RNA, 850 nt
Organism: Triticum aestivum (bread wheat)
Lineage: Eukaryota; Viridiplantae; Streptophyta; Magnoliopsida; Poales; Poaceae
Exons: 2
Source: RefSeq, a predicted model, not a curated record